Molecule: RNA transcript, 3600 nt
Organism: Humulus lupulus (European hop)
Lineage: Eukaryota; Viridiplantae; Streptophyta; Magnoliopsida; Rosales; Cannabaceae
Gene name: putative pentatricopeptide repeat-containing protein At1g12700, mitochondrial
Exons: 2
Source: RefSeq, a predicted model, not a curated record
CUAUUUGUUUGGAUUUAUGGGAAAAUGAUAUAAAAGUUACAUCCUUUUGAAAAACUUUGGCGAUUGUUAACUAGGUCAGCCAGUGUCUCAGCUCUCUCUUUCCCCGCCUAUGCCUCCAACUGAAGACCCUUUCCCCCCCAGGUACGUUCGCCAUCGUCUUCCUUUCUAUUUUGCACAAAUUUUUGCAUGUUUAUGAUGUUAAGCUCUACAAACAUGUUAAAUUUGUAUACGCUUACAUUAUUAUCCUAACACUUAGCUGCCGUCGCCCAUUGUGUUGGUUCAGUUUUAAUUAUCCCGGUUGUUCUUCGCUCUCUGUUCUCCAAUGGUGUUCAGAAAUCUGUCCUGUUACCCCUCUGCUGCGACGGAGGUGUCAUCUUCGUCUUUGUCUUCAUCAAAAGUUGCUCAAAAAGAUACAAAACUCUCGUCCCUCUUUAUGUUCCGAAAAAUACCCAAGUCUCGGAAACCCGAAAGCACUGAAAAAAAUACAACAAAACCUAGAAAACCCACUUCUUCAAAUCAAAUAAACUCUUCGGGAAGCUCAGUUCCUAAGGCUCCUGUCCCAACCUUACUUCAAAAGUUACUCAAAACCAAGUGCAACUCAGGUAAUGGUUCUCUCUCUGAAUUGCGUUUCUGCUUUGAUGAGAUGAUUCGCAUGAAGCCCACGCCUCCAGUGUCAUCAUUCGAUUCUUUGAUAGUUGUUUUAGCUAAGAAUAAGCAUUACUCUGAUGUUUUUAAGGUUUAUAAUUGGAUAAACUCAAAUGGGUUGUUGCCUAGUUUCAUAAUGAUUAAUGUUUUGCUUAAUUGCUUCUGCAAUUUAAAUCGUGUGUCUGAUGGUUUUGUGGCAUUGGGAAGCAUGAUAAGGAGGGGUUAUAGUCCAAAUAUUGUGACUUAUACAUCUUUAGUUAAAGGGUUGUGUUCGGAGAAUAAGAUUUUUGAGGCAAUUCGCUUAUUUAAGAAGAUUUUCAAGUUGGGGUGUGAGCCCAAUGCGGUCACCUUUGGUACUCUGAUUAACGGAUUGUGUAGGACUGGAAAUACUUCUAUUGCACUCAAGUUACAUGAAGAAAUGGCUAGUGGGAAAGAUCAUGGAGAUGGUUUUAAGUGCAAACCGAAUCUAGUUUGGUAUGGAGCUAUCAUUGAUGGGCUCUGUAAGGAAGGGUUGGUAGAAAAGGCGCAAGAACUAUUCUUGGAAAUGAAAGCUGACGGGGUUCGUCCUGAUGUUGUUGUUUAUAGCUCUUUGAUGCAUGGUUUGUGCUACGCAGAUAAAUGGGAAGAGGCCAAAGGUCUGUUCAAUGAGAUGACAGAUCAAGAGGUGCGGCCUAAUGUGGUGACUUUUAAUGUGUGGAUAGAUGUGCUUUCUAAGACGGGAAAGAUGAAAGAAGCUUAUGAUGUGCUAGAAAUGAUGACCCAGACAGGCGAGCAUCCUGAUGAAAUCACUUACAACAUUUUGUUAGAUGGCUUAUGUCAAACUGGUAGGCUUAGUGAAGCCAAGAAACUAUUUCUUUCCCUUACAAAUAAAGGGUUUAAACCUGAUUCAUUUAGCUACAACAUGUUGAUUCGUGGGCUUUGCAAGAAAUCAAAGAUUAAUGAAGCUUUGAGUCUCUUCAGGGAAAUGAUGCCAAAGGGAGUUAAGCCCACAGAAGUAACAUAUAAUACCUUAAUAGGUGGUCUCUUCCAUACCGGUAACAUUGAUGAUGCCCGCAGACUGUUCACUGAGAUGCAAACUCAUCAUCUUGUACCAAAUGCAAGUACGUAUGCUGUGUUUUUGGGUGGACUGUGCAAGAACAAGCAUGUUUCAGAGGCGUUGGAAGUUUUUCAUAGCCUUAAAAAUUGCGAGUUUGAGCUGAAUAUUCAAAUUUUCAAUACUCUUAUUGAUGGGUUGUGUAAAUCAGAAAAGUUUGAGAUUGCUUGGGAGCUAUAUCAGGGUUUUGUCGAAAGAGGCCUUGUGCCUAAUGUUGUGACAUAUUCCAUCUUGAUACAUGCCCUUUGCAAAAAUGGAGAUUUAGAAAAGGCAAAAGGUAUGUUUCUUGAAAUGGAUCAAAAAGGUUGUGCCCCAAAUUUUGUUACAUAUAACACACUAAUGCAUGCUUUUAUAAAAAACAAUGAGCUGCCGAAAGUGGUUGAACUUCUUCAUAAAAUGGCGGAGAAAAAUGUGCCGCCAGAUGCCUCUACAUUCGCCAUCGUGAUAGACGUACUAUCAAAGGAUGAAAAGUAUCGCCAAUGUCUAAGUUUGCUUCCAACAUUUCCUGUCCAGAAGCAAUUGAGAGUGGAAAUGAUUAGUCUCAAGUCAGUGGCAUGAGUUUUAGUUUACGAUCUUCAUUUGGAAAUGUUCUGGAGCUUGAUGAAAUUUAGUUCUUUAACCGGAAGCUACAUAAUAUGAAGGGUGGAAGUGGAAGAGCUCAAUUCAACCUUCUUGUGAUUGAAGAAAUAAUAUUGUGUGGACCUGGCUGCAAUGUAUCUCUAGACUCACCUGAAUAGUGUAUCAGUGUAUUUAGUGCAUUUUUUUUCCUCUUUGUUUUUUUUCUCAUACCAUGGAGUAAUUGUAUAUAAUAGAGUUUAACAACAAUAGAAUCAUUGCUUGUUAAGUCUAACAUCAUUCUUUUGUUCCAGCAAAAAAAUUAAAAACAUCAUUAUUUUGGUGUCUGAUGUUGUAUAAUAUCAGCUAUACCUUUUUUUGCAUAGCAAACUGGAAAUGAAUGAGACUGAAAUAAAAAAGAGAUUGCAGAUUAAAAAAAACAAUGAAGAAAGAAAGAAAAGAAUCUAUUUCAAGACUCUACUGUUCUUGAAGUUGGUGUUGGUAUGGCGAUAAAGGAUGCUCGAGGUAACAUCAUUGGCUCGUCUGCUAUUCCACUUAAUGUGUUCUUUGACACCCCCAAUGAAGCUGAAGCCUGAAGGUAUUUUACUUUGCGAAAGCUCCUUAUCUUGUCAUUUGGCAUUGUUCUUGAUAUUAUUUACUAGCUAUUCACUGAAUUUUCUGUUCAAGACUUGCUAAUGGUGUGGAUCACUCCUUAACAAAGCUUGCAUUGUUUAUGGAAAAUGCUCAGAAAAAAGAAAGAAAGAGAGACGAAUCUAUUUGAUUUGUUGCUAGAUUUAGUGCAAAUAAUUCAAAGGGGUCGAGAAAAUAAAAAUGGUAACUACUUUUUGGCCUUUUAUUGUGGAGUCUCUUCAACAAGAUAAAGGGGAAUUUGAGUAGCCAUGAAAAUGCAGAAUGAAACAACAACAACAAUACAAGAGUUUUUCUGUUUUCCAUAGAAGCAAGCUUCUCACUACUUUGGAUCGAAGUUGGUAAGAACAGGCAACCAGACAAAAUCUUGGAGACCAGGACCUAGGCCUCAGCGACUUUGUCCCUAUCACCAAUAAUUUUGCUCUCUUUCAUUUUCCAUUCUCUCUCCAAUAAAAUUGGAUCUCUCUUUUUUUUUCUUUUGUCAGUUCCACUUUUAAGUAUUACAUUUGCUUGUUGGAUUAAAUUACUAUAAAAAUAAUUCUUACUCCACUCACUUAAGAAUCACUGUCUGUCGGCUUGUAGUUUGUUUUGGCUUGUAGUUGGUAAAAUAAUGUUAAUGACACUUAAGAAUUUACACUCAUUAUUAUUAUUAUUGACAA